Long non-coding RNA from Lytechinus pictus (painted urchin), 155 nucleotides. RefSeq lists it as uncharacterized. NCBI's taxonomy places the organism in Eukaryota, Metazoa, Echinodermata, Echinoidea, Temnopleuroida, Toxopneustidae. The transcript is spliced from 2 exons. The record is from RefSeq and is a predicted model, not a curated record.
UGGAACUAUGUUCAUUUGUUGAUGGAACUAACUGGAUUGUGAUGAAAGAUUUCUGGGUUUUCUACGAAGAGGAUUUUCUUCUUUGUUAUUUUCUUUAUGCCUCUGAACAACUGUUGUGCUCAAGUGGGAAAUUAAAUUCCGCUCACAACCUACAA